This 305-nucleotide ribosomal RNA is filed under the name uncultured bacterium. Its description in RNAcentral is "bacterial SSU rRNA". It matches the Rfam family "Bacterial small subunit ribosomal RNA", at positions 333 to 655 of the family's 1533-position model. The record is from RNAcentral.
UCGUUCCUACGGGGCGCAGCAGUGGGGGAUAUUGCACAAUGGGGGAAACCCUGAUGCAGCGACGCCGCGUGGGUGAAGAAGCGCCUCGGCGCGUAAAGCCCUGUCAGCAGGGAAGAAAAUGACGGUACCUGAAGAAGAAGCCCCGGCUAACUACGUGCCAGCAGCCGCGGUAAUACGUAGGGGGCAAGCGUUAUCCGGAUUUACUGGGUGUAAAGGGGGCGCAGACGGCGAUGCAAGCCAGGAGUGAAGGCCCGGGGCCCAACCCCGGGACUGCUCUUGGAACUGCAUGGCUGGAGACCAGGAGG